This is a long non-coding RNA of Homo sapiens (human), 1562 nucleotides long. The record is from Ensembl. Lineage: Eukaryota; Metazoa; Chordata; Mammalia; Primates; Hominidae.
AGGCUCAGCUUCCAUCACCGCGUGGCGGAGCCCGUGUCCGGGCCAGUGCUGACUUUGAGACUUUUCUGAUGGUGACUCAUGAUAUGCAUGGAAGCAUAAGAAAUGCUCACACGAAACAUUCAGAAAACUAAACUUACCCUUACGGUAUAUGAUGCUGUGAUGGUUAACACUGAGUGUCAACUUGAUUGGAUUGAAGGAUGUGAAGUAUUUUUCCUGGGUGCGUCUGUGAGGGUGUUGCCAAAGGAGAUUAACAUUUGAGUCAGUGGACUGGGGCAGGCAGACCCACCCUCAAUGUGGGUGGGCACCGUCUAAUCAGCAGCCAACAUGGCUAGAAUAAAACAGGCAGAAGAACAUGGAAGGACUUGACUUGCUGAGUCUUCUGGCCUUCAUCUUUCUUCCAUGCUGGAUGCUUCCUGCCCUCGAACAUGAGACUCCAAGUUCUUCAGCUUUUGGACACUUGGACUUACACCAGUAGUUUGCCAGGGGCUUUUGGGCCUUUGGACACAGCCUGAAGUCUGCAAUGUCGGCUUCCCUACUUUUGAGGUUUCGGGACUCGGACUGAUCCACCACUGGCUUCCUUGCUCCUCAACUUGCAGACGACCUAUUGUGGGACUUUACCUUGUGAUCCUCCACCCAGCCCCACGGUGGGCCUUGCCUCGUCUGUUAGGUGGUAUUUUCAUCUUUGGUCAGAUGACAGCCCCCAUGCUCCAAAAAUUCUCCUGCAGCCAGGGCUUGGAGAAUCCCGACCCCUCUCUGGCAUGAACCUCUCCUCAUCCAGGGUGGCUUGUGUGGUAGAGCCAGGGGAAUGGAGAAGAUGACCUCUGAAGCCUGAAGGCUCUUUGGGAAGCAGGACACAAACAUCCUGAAGAGCCAGCCUUGAGCUGGCUGCACAAGAGACUCAUAGACUUUGCGUCAACAUCCACCUCUCCAGGCUGCAGUGGGUGUACCUGUUCACCACCACCUCCAGCAGCACUGUCGCAGCGGAGCAGUUCUUACAGCCAAUGAGCUUCCACACCACCUCCCUGCAGUUCUCUGCAACCGAGGCUCCAUCCUGCACUGAUGGGCUGCCUGACACGUCGGCCUCAACAAGCAUUUCCAGCACAUUCUCAGCUUUCCUGCUCUGCUGGGCAAAACACAGGGUGAGAAGGGGAGAGGAAGAACGGGACUGUGGCCCAGUUCUAGGCUUGGAGUCUAGCGAGGAACACCAGGUGCCUGCAUUAAAAGGAUGGUUGGAGAGACAAAAGAGGAAAAUGAAUGCUUCCACGAAGCUCCCUCUUUGUGGCAGAAUCAGUCCAAUGGAGAAAUUCUGAAAUUCCAGUUUUACAAAGUUCUUCAAACUUACCUCAAGGAUGGCACCAGCUGAAGCUCAGUUGCCCUGUCUCUUAUGCACCAGUGCAUCUGCCCCAGAAACUCUUAUCUGGGGCUCAGUUUGCCCCCAUGUGGUAUAAGUCCCUCCAAAGAUUCCAUUUCUAGUUACUCGUCUCAAUGUCACAAUGAGAAAUAUUUCUGCAUAUUUCCUGCAAAGCGUCUCAUUAAAGAAAGUAUUGGUUUGAUUCAGAAAA